RNAcentral lists this ribosomal RNA (232 nucleotides) under uncultured bacterium. RNAcentral's name for it is "partial 16S ribosomal RNA". It matches the Rfam family "Bacterial small subunit ribosomal RNA", at positions 99 to 334 of the family's 1533-position model. The record is from RNAcentral.
CGGACGGGUGAGUAAUGUCUGGGAAACUGCCUGAUGGAGGGGGAUAACUACUGGAAACGGUAGCUAAUACCGCAUAACGUCGCAAGACCAAAGAGGGGGACCUUCGGGCCUCUUGCCAUCGGAUGUGCCCAGAUGGGAUUAGCCAGUAGGUGGGGUAAAGGCUCACCUAGGCGACGAUCCCUAGCUGGUCUGAGAGGAUGACCAGCCACACUGGAACUGAGACACGGUCCAG